Molecule: ribosomal RNA, 1069 nt
Filed under: uncultured bacterium
Lineage: Bacteria
Description: bacterial SSU rRNA
Rfam family: Bacterial small subunit ribosomal RNA
Source: RNAcentral
AGAGUUUGAUCCUGGCUCAGGAUGAACGCUGGCGGCGUGCCUAAUACAUGCAAGUCGAGCGGUAACACUUCGGGUGACGAGCGGCGGACGGCUGAGUAACGCGUAGGAACGUACCCCAAACUGAGGGAUAAGCACCAGAAAUGGUGUCUAAUACCGCAUAUGGUCUUCGGAUUAAAGCUUCGGCGGUUUGGGAACGGCCUGCGUAUGAUUAGCUUGUUGGUGAGGUAAAAGCUCACCAAGGCGACGAUCAUUAGCUGGUCUGAGAGGAUGAUCAGCCAGACUGGGACUGAGACACGGCCCAGACUCCUACGGGAGGCAGCAGUAGGGAAUCUUCCACAAUGGGCGAAAGCCUGAUGGAGCAACGCCGCGUGCAGGAUGAAAGCCUUCGGGUCGUAAACUGCUUUUAUAUGUGAAGACUUCGACGGUAGCAUAUGAAUAAGGAUCGGCUAACUCCGUGCCAGCAGCCGCGGUCAUACGGAGGAUCCAAGCGUUAUCCGGAAUUACUGGGCGUAAAGAGUUGCGUAGGUGGCAUAGUAAGUUGGUAGUGAAAUUGUGUGGCUCAACCAUACACCCAUUACUAAAACUGCUAAGCUAGAGUAUAUGAGAGGUAGUUGGAAUUCCUAGUGUAGGAGUGAAAUCCGUAGAUAUUAGGAGGAACACCGAUGGCGUAGGCAGACUACUGGCAUAUUACUGACACUAAGGCACGAAAGCGUGGGGAGCGAACGGGAUUAGAUACCCCGGUAGUCCACGCCGUAAACGAUGGAUGCUAGCUGUUAUGAGUAUCGACCCUUGUAGUAGCGAAGCUAACGCGUUAAGCAUCCCGCCUGUGGAGUACGAGCGCAAGCUUAAAACAUAAAGGAAUUGACGGGGACCCGCACAAGCGGUGGAGCGUGUUGUUUAAUUCGAUGAUAAGCGAAGAACCUUACCAAGGCUUGACAUCCCUGGAAGGUCUCCGAAAGGAGACUGUGCCUUCGGGAAUCAGGUGACAGGUGAUGCAUGGCCGUCGUCAGCUCGUGUCGUGAGAUGUUUGGUUAAGUCCACCAACGAACGCAACCCCUUUGACGUGUUG